AAUUCCUUAGAAGAGGAGAUAGCAUAGCUUUCCCUCUCUCUAGUUGGACUCCGAGAAUAAAAAAUACCGCCUGAACCCAAAACCAAAAGGAAAUGGUUCACGAAUUCCCUCUGAUUGAGAAGAACUGUUCAAGCAGUAUGCUUUCUCUCAAGCUCGAAGAUUUUCGUGAAAGGCUCUCUACCCAAUUUAGACCCUGGCAUCGUUCCUUCCAAUUCUGGAUACGGGCAGUUGAUAUCUACACUGGGUACAAGGUGUUACAACUUCAAGCGAGUUUCGUGAAGGAUGUGCAGAAGCAGGAGGCAAUGUGGGAAAGACAGCAUGAACUUGCGGCGGAUAAGAUACAUGCUAUGUGCUGUGACCUUGGUGGGUUUUUCCUCAAGGUUGCUCAAAUUAUUGGGAAGCCUGACUUGGCCCCAGCAGCAUGGGUGAGAAGGCUUGUGACACUCUGUGAUCAUGCCCCUGCAACCUCUUUUGAUAUGGUUCAACUUGUGUUGGAGAAGGAGUUGGGUAGAAGUGUUGGUGAAAUUUUUGAAAGAUUUGAUGUGGAUCCUCUUGGUUCUGCUUCAAUUGCUCAGGUUCAUAGAGCAAGAUUGAAAGGUGAUAAAAGUGAUGUUGUUGUCAAGGUGCAACAUCCUGGAGUUCAAGAAUUGAUGAUGACAGAUAUACGUAAUUUGCAAGCUUUCGCUUUAUACAUGCAAAAGACAGAUAUCAAAUUUGAUCUAUACUCCGUAACCAAGGAAAUGGAGAAACAGAUUGGAUAUGAAUUUGACUUUAUGAGGGAGGCAAAAGCUAUGGAAAGAAUUCAACAAUUUUUGUAUAAGAACAACAAAAAAUCUCCUGUUUUGGUGCCGCGGGUGAUCCGCGAUAUGGUGACUAGGAGGGUCUUGGUAAUGGAGUAUAUUGAUGGAAUUCCAAUCCUCAAGCUUGGGGAUGAGCUAGCCAAAAGAGGCAUAAAUCCUGGCAGUAAGAUUGCAGCGGUGGCAAAGCAGAAUAUACUUAAAAGCUUGACAUUAGCAUACGGAGAAAUGAUACUGAAGAGUGGUUACUUCCAUGCAGAUCCCCAUCCUGGAAAUAUUCUAAUUUGUAAAGGUUCAGAGGUUGCUCUGCUGGACUAUGGACAAGUGAAGGAUCUGCCAAACGAAUUGAGACUUGGAUAUGCUAAUCUAGUUCUUGCUAUGGCUGAUAAUGAUGCUAUAAGAGCAUCAGCAAGCUACAGGGAGCUUGGCAUAGAUACCUUAAGUAAAUGUGAGGAUGAACUGAAGGAAUUGCUGAAGUUGGCGCAGACAAUGUUUGAUACUAAACUACCCCCUGGAGUUGUGAUGCUGCAACCUUUCUCGGAGGAGUCUUCAAUAAAAAAAAUUGCUGUUCAGGCUUUUCCCGAAGAGCUAUUCUCAGUUCUUCGGACUGUGCACCUACUAAGAGGACUUAGCGUUGGUCUCGGAAUAAACUAUUCUUGUGCUGAGCAAUGGAGACCCAUUGCAGAAGAGGCUCUGUAUUCUGCUGGUAGACUACAAGGUGAGAAGGAUCUGAAGAGUAGAGCGCGUAGGCGCAGUUCUCUUAGAAAAAUAUUUCGGAGAUAGAGGCUUAUCGAGAAUGGUGAGCAGGAAUCACUCUUGGAACUUGGUAUCUCAAUCUUGGAGGUAUAUAAUUUUCUACUGGGCAUUUCAGACGCCUUCUUUUGGGAAGGACUUGGCGGGGGUGGGGAAGGCAAUAGCUGUGGGGCAUUUGGAAUUCAACAUAUUGCUGUCAUACAUGCUUACUUUGAACUUCUCCCAAGAGAAUCUGCCGCUGAAUUCCUUCAGAUAUUCCUCAUAACAAUGUAAUUGAUAGAAAUUGAUGUGGAAAUCGAGUAUAUGAUGCACAGUGGAAUAAUUAAACUUGCAGCAAAUGAUGAAGCACCAAGAACACAAAUUCAUACGCAA
Malania oleifera is the source of this 1922-nucleotide RNA transcript. RefSeq lists it as uncharacterized. Lineage: Eukaryota; Viridiplantae; Streptophyta; Magnoliopsida; Santalales; Ximeniaceae. The transcript has 13 exons. The record is from RefSeq and is a predicted model, not a curated record.